ACGCUCGACACCUACGGGGGGCAGCAGUGGGGAAUAUUGCACAAUGGGGGAAACCCUGAUGCAGCGACGCCGCGUGAGCGAAGAAGUAUUUCGGUAUGUAAAGCUCUAUCAGCAGGAAAGAAGAAAGACGGUACCUGACUAAGAAGCCCCGGCUAACUACGUGCCAGCAGCCGAGGUAAUCUGAGCGGGCUGGCAAGGC
This 199-nucleotide ribosomal RNA is filed under the name uncultured bacterium. Its description in RNAcentral is "partial 16S ribosomal RNA". It matches the Rfam family "Bacterial small subunit ribosomal RNA", at positions 328 to 539 of the family's 1533-position model. The record is from RNAcentral.